Non-coding RNA from Prunus avium (sweet cherry), 1306 nucleotides. NCBI's taxonomy places the organism in Eukaryota, Viridiplantae, Streptophyta, Magnoliopsida, Rosales, Rosaceae. The record is from RefSeq and is a predicted model, not a curated record.
CCCCGGGCUGUCUGUUUAAACAGUCUGCGCCCUUUUUUUUAUAUAAAACUUGAGCCAAAACGACGUCGUUUUGUCCAGGUUUUUUUGAAAAAACAAAAAAAUUCAUUGGUGGAAGUCGUUUUGAUGUCGAGGGAAAAAAAAACAUAGAAGCGCGCAAGCAAUGCUGGAGCAAUAGUCUGCACCCCUUUGGGGACUUUCAUCAAACACUUUGCAGGGGUCAAUUUUCUCUCCUUCAAUGGCAGAUUUCAGAGGUUGCAGGGGUCAUUUGACCACCCUUGCUCCUCUGUAGAUCCGUCCCUGAGUGGAAGUCGUUUUGAUGUCGAGGGAAAAAAAAAACAUAGAAGCGCGCAAGCAAUGCUGGAGCAAUAGUCUGCGCCCCUUUGGGGACUUUCAUCAAACACUUUGCAGGGGUCAAUUUUCUCUCCUUCAAUGGCAGAUUUCAGAGGUUGCAGGGUCACUUGACCACCCUUGCUCCUCUGUAGAUCCGUCCCUGGAUACAAUCGCAGCCACACCUGUACAUGUAGCUUACAUUUCCGAUCAUUCUCGUUGAAAUUUUGGAGGUUUCCCGGUGUCUACACUUGACUUGACUGGAGCAGUUGUUGACGGUUACACGCUGUACAUCAGUUCGGAGAAGUUAUUUGCGGUUUGGCGGUUACUACAACAGCAGAUAAGUUUGACUAGUUAUCAUUAACAUUAACUGCCUCAUAGCCACAUCAUCCUGACUUUGGCCCAUGGAAUAUUUUAUUUUUCUUCCUUACCUGACCGGUUGUGCUUUCGGUUUUAGCCCAUGUAUUGGUUUUAUCUGAUAAUGGUUGAGAUUGAAUGCAAAUUUGUUGUGCUUUAAUUGAGUUUGAUUAAGAAUCAUUUUUGAGAAAUUUGGGUUUCGUUUAGAUUUUUGAAUGGAUGCAUUGGAAUUUUUAUAAGGUUAUAGGGCAUUGAAGAAAAAUUGGAGUUGCUACCACGAUAGAUGAACUGAAAAUUUGUGGUUCUUGAAAUAAAACGCCUUUGUUUCAAAUUGUAAUUGUGUGAAUGGUAUCACUUGAUAAGCGGUUUCUGUGUCAAAUUAUGAAUUUACAGAUUUGAUACUAUUGUUGUGCUGAAUGGUGAUCUUUGUAUUGAAGUAUCUAGUUUUAUUGUUGACUAGGGUACCCGUCGAUCCACUCCAGUGGCAGAUUUCGUAGGACACUGCUAAUAGCAUUGUUGCCCUUUUAGCGAAUAUCAUAGGAGCAGCUGAGUCUGUAUUGAGCGUUGCAGCCACAGGACCUGACAAGAGGUGGUUUUUCAAGACAGCUCACCAGAUAACUUC